Molecule: unclassified non-coding RNA, 299 nt
Filed under: Mycena sp.
Lineage: Eukaryota; Fungi; Basidiomycota; Agaricomycetes; Agaricales; Mycenaceae
Description: partial contains 5.8S ribosomal RNA, internal transcribed spacer 2, and large subunit ribosomal RNA
Source: RNAcentral
CGCACCUUGCACCCUUUGGUAUUCCGAAGGGUAUGCCUGUUUGAGUGUCAUUAAAUUCUCAACCUUAUAAGCUUUUGUUUGUAAGGCUUGGAUGUGAGGGUAUAUUGCUGGCUUCCUUAAGUGUGAUGGUCAGCUCCCUUGAAAUGUAUUAGUGGAAUCCUUUGUGGAACACUUGAGUGUAAUAAUUAUUGUGCUCUUGCUGUGAAACAAUUUUAAGUGAAUCUGCUUACAACCGUCUGCAAGGACAAUUUACUUGACAAUUUGACCUCAAAUCAGGUAGGACUACCCGCUGAACUUAA